Molecule: ribosomal RNA, 481 nt
Filed under: uncultured bacterium
Lineage: Bacteria
Description: partial 16S ribosomal RNA
Source: RNAcentral
GUAGUUAGCCGUGGCUUCCUCCUCAGGUACCGUCAUUAUCGUCCCUGAAGACAGAGGUUUACAAUCCGAAGACCUUCUUCCCUCACGCGGCGUCGCUGCAUCAGAGUUUCCUCCAUUGUGCAAUAUUCCCCACUGCUGCCUCCCGUAGGAGUCUGGACCGUGUCUCAGUUCCAGUGUGGCCGAUCAGCCUCUCAGCUCGGCUACCCAUCGUCGACUUGGUGGGCCGUUACCCCGCCAACUGGCUAAUGGGACGCGAGCUCACCCCGGGAUCGGAUUGCUCCUUUUACCCCUCCCCAUGCGAGGGCGUGGUCUUAUGCGGUAUUAGCAACUGUUUCCAGUUGUUAUCCCCCAUUCCGGGACAGAUUGCUCACGCGUUACUCACCCGUCCGCCACUCGCUUACACCCGAAGGCCUAAGCUCGUUCGACUUGCAUGUGUUAAGCACGCCGCCAGCGUUCGUCCUGAGCCAUAAUCAAACUCUGA